AAAUUGAAGAGUUUGAUCAUGGCUCAGAUUGAACGCUGGCGGCAGGCCUAACACAUGCAAGUCGAACGGUAACAGGAAGCAGCUUGCUGAUUCGCUGACGAGUGGCGGACGGGUGAGUAAUGUCUGGGAAACUGCCUGAUGGAGGGGGAUAACUACUGGAAACGGUAGCUAAUACCGCAUAAUGUCGCAAGACCAAAGAGGGGGACCUUCGGGCCUCUUGCCAUCGGAUGUGCCCAGAUGGGAUUAGCUAGUAGGUGGGGUAACGGCUCACCUAGGCG
This 278-nucleotide ribosomal RNA is filed under the name Escherichia coli. RNAcentral describes it as "partial 16S ribosomal RNA". It matches the Rfam family "Bacterial small subunit ribosomal RNA", at positions 1 to 275 of the family's 1533-position model. Lineage: Bacteria; Pseudomonadati; Pseudomonadota; Gammaproteobacteria; Enterobacterales; Enterobacteriaceae. The record is from RNAcentral.